CGAGGUAGGAAAAUUGCGUCUGAAGAUCGGGCGCAUCUCGUCGAACGUUAAUUUCAGACCGGAUCGGAUUCUCUAUAUACACAUGCGUUGAGUAAAUGGAAAUGACGUGUUCAUUAUAUCUCGUGCGGCACGAGGUCGUCUCAUUAGUUAGAAAGAUGGUGCUAAUACGACUCGCUCUAUGUUAGAUGCGAUUUAUUAUACUCGCCGCAUUCGCGCGAUUCUUUCUUUUAAUCUUGCGAACGAACAUUAUUCAGACAAGCAAGCGGAUAUUUUAUCGACUAAAAUCUGAACGAGUUGAGAUAUUGUACAUCCUGGAUUGCUGAAGGUGUUACAAUUUCGGGACGUUACUCAUCCAAUGUUAAGUGGGUCUCCGUGCUGGCGAGUAUGCGGGUGGUCUUUCCGUUUGCAAAGGCGGGACGAUUUUAUGGUUUCCGCUCUCCCGAGACCUAAGCCACCGUCAUUUUCAAGGCUCGUUCGUAGCUCAAAUUAAUUGCCCUCUAAUGCUACUGAUAUAUUGUUGCGGACGCGUCGGUUAUUACAAUGACAUUAAAGGAAAAUUAAUUGCAAAUUCACGCACUCAUUGCGAUAAUUGGAUAGAAAAGCAAACAUUGUCAUGAGUUUAUUAAUAAGCGCACUAAAAAGAUAUUAAUAAAUCGCUAUUUUUUGCAAAAUAUAAGUUAAAAAAUUGCUGAUUGCUAUUAAAAUCAUGAGAGUCGAAGAAAA
Wasmannia auropunctata (little fire ant) is the source of this 723-nucleotide long non-coding RNA. RefSeq lists it as uncharacterized. The record is from RefSeq and is a predicted model, not a curated record. The transcript has 2 exons. Lineage: Eukaryota; Metazoa; Arthropoda; Insecta; Hymenoptera; Formicidae.